ACGGAGACCAUGCAGAGCAACGGGAGGUGGAGGAUCCCGGAGGUGACAGCAAGGAGAGUACGCAACGGCUAGGGGAAUCUGAAGUGGGCCCAGGUGACUUCUGUGAGGACGCAGGGCAAGCGGGCAAAAGGAAGGGAAGGCAGCCCCGGGGUGCUGCAGACCAGCCCCGCUGGUGCGGGAGAUAACAUGUCCGGCGAGCGGCCCCCCCGCACCGACAUACCCCGCAACCUCAGCUUUAUAGCUGCGCUGACCGAGCGUGCCUACUACCGCAGCCAGCGGCCCAGCCUCGAGGAGGAGCCGGAGGAGGAGCCAGCCGAGGGCGGGACGCGUCUGGGGGCCCGAUCCCGCGCUCACGCUCCGAGUCGGGGUCGCCGGGCCCGUUCCGCACCCGCCGGAGGCGGCGGGGCCCGGGCACCCCGCAGCCGAAGCCCGGACACCCGCAAGAGAGUGCGUUUCGCUGACGCGCUGGGGCUGGAGCUGGCCGCGGUGCGCCGCUUCCGCCCCGGAGAGCUGCCCCGGGUACCCCGCCACGUGCAGAUCCAGCUGCAAAGAGACGCCCUCCGCCACUUCGCGCCUUGUCAGCCGCGCUCCCGAAGCCUCCAGGAGGCGCGCGCAGCCCUAGAGCCGGCCAGCGAGCCCGGCUUCGCCGCCCGCUUACAGGCGCAGCGCAUCUGCUUGGAGCGCGCUGAGGCGGGCCCACUGGGCGUGGCUGGGAGCGCGCGCGUGCUGGACCUGGCCUACGAGAAGCGCGUUAGCGUGCGCUGGAGCGCCGACGGCUGGAGAAGCCAGCGCGAAGCGCUCGCCGCUUACGCCGGCCCGGCCCCGCCCCCUCCGCGAGCAGAUCGUUUCGCCUUCCGUCUUCCAGCGCCGCCCAUUGGGGGCGCCCUGCUCUUCGCCCUACGCUACCGUGUGACCGGUCGCGAGUUCUGGGACAACAACGGCGGCCGUGACUAUGCUCUGCGUGGGCCCGAGCAUCCGGGCAGUGCCGGAGCCCCGGAGCCCCAGGGCUGGAUCCACUUUAUCUAAGACAAGACUUCCGCAGCCCGUGGCAGAAAAAAACUAAGGCACCUGGGGGGCAGGGGAAAACCAAUGUGGUGGGAGGAGUGGGAGAAACUUAGAUUGACCGGGAGAGGUCCCAGUCAGGUGGGGGAGGGCGAGGAAGGUGGGAGAAAUCAACAAGGUUUGGGGAACUCGAGGUGGAAAAUGCUGGCUGGAUGUGAGUGAAAAGAACCCAAGGCAAGGGAGAAAGGAAACCAGAGGGAUUAGAAGAAAGCUAAAGAAGGGGGAUGAUGGUAGCCUCUUUAAUGAAUGGUCACUGGGAGAGAGUGAGUUGCAGGCCUAGGCAGUCAAAUGUUAGGAAAGUCUUUGGGUUUGAGGAGGCAUUAUGGAUUGAGGAGGUGUGACGUGUGAAAUAAUCCAUCCCAUUUGAAGUCAACGGAUUGCUGGUUUAUUUCCGUUUUUUGGCCUUUGCCACCUCAGGUCCCUCAGUUUGCCCAUCCUAGUUUUAUCUCAGCUAUAAUUGCCUUGCUUAAUCCUAGGAACUUGGCCAUUGCUCCUUCUGGACCCUGGCAUGACAGGAUUCCCUUAUCACCCGACAGUUCCUCCCUAAAAUUUUCAUGUAUUGGCUGGGGAAUGAUGACAGGUAGAACUAUUUUCUCCGUCCUCCAGGCAAGUUCCGGAUUAUAAUCGAGGCAAAAGCAACCCCAGCCUGUCCUUGUAGCCCAAUAAUGGGGCACCUAAGGUGUUGAUUUACUCAGGGGCUUCCAGAAAAAUGUCAGCCUUAUAUUUCUGGGUACCUUUUAAUAACCUCUAAGCACUUUAUGGACUGUUGUCAAGGAAUAGUGAAUCAAAAAAUCACUAUUCUGAUUUGUUGCUUCUGGUUUAGAAGAAAAAGAAGUCACUGACUGGCUGUACAACUUUAAGCAAGUUGUACUUCUUUGGGCCCCACUUUGCUUCUUGGGAAAUUGGAUUUGGUUUAUGUAGUUCUUUUACAGCUCCAUUUUGUUUGACAUUUUAUCAUCUGCAUUGUAUAGUGUAGAUUAGAAGCCACAUUUUUCAACCUUUUACUAUAGUUCAGGAGACAAACCCUGAGCUUAUGGUUGUGGCUGAGGAGGGGUCCUCCAGUUUUGGGCAAGAAUGUUUCAGAACCCAGAAAGUAUUCCACAAUCACCCGGUAGCGUCUUCCCAACCAUGGCACAUCUACUGCCCCUUGCUUUUUGCUCUUGCCUCCAGAGAUUUCCAGCCUGGAUGAUCUGAGACAGCUUUGGGGAGGUAUAUCUGAGUUGGGAAUAUGAUUGAGAGCCCCCAAAUGAAAGGAAACAAUGCCAGGAUCUCUCUUGAGAAUAAAGAAUGGAAAACAUCAAGAAUGAGAGCAACUUGACAAAUGACACCAGAAAAUGGCAGUCUUAUCCAUAUUCUGAGCCAGUGAAAUGGGAAAGCUGACUCUUCUACCCAUUCCCAUUCAUGUCUCUCUUGGUUAACCUUAACAUGGGAGUUAUUUCUUUCCUGGUUGCUUAGUUUCCUUUCCUCUUACCCUAUACCUAACCUCUUUGCUUUUUGCUUUUUUUCUUGUUCCUCUCCCUUUUCAUCACUUUUUUUUUCCUUUGAACAUGUAAGGUAUUUACUUUUAUUCUAGGUCAUUUACCUAUAUUUUCUCCCUUUCCCUCUUCAUUCUUAGUUGAUCUCUGCUAUUCCUUCUUCCUCCAGAAGGGGUAGAGAGUCUACUUCCUUUUCUCCAAGACCAUGGUUGAUCCACCUUCCUCCCUCAGGCUCCUUCUUGACAGUCUUCUAAAGGGAGAAAAGGGGAAAGAAGCAGUUCCUGUUGUUACAGAUGAACAAGGAGCUUUAAGGUCAACCUCAGGUCAGAGUUCCAGCAAAGUGAAGAAAGAAAUUACUGGAAGUCACCAAGCAAUGCACGGUUUAGUCAUCAGUGAGAACCCAGGAAGUCUGGGUUGAGGUUCAUUUUCUAAUAAUGUCUUGCCUGACUUGUAUGUGUUACCGUUAUAUCAUAUUAAUAGUAGUAAUAGCCCAUUUUCUUAACAUUUAUCUGCUAAAAUCUGUUUUAUGUGCAUGCUCAAAAUAAUCCUGAGUAUCAGUAUCAUUAUUCCUCUUCUAUUAAAGAUAAGCCCUGGAGAAACUCUAGUCUUGUUCAAGAUCUCACAGCUAUGCAGGGUGCAGUGGCACACUCCAUAAUCCCAGUGACUCAGGAGGCUGAAACAGGAGGAUUGCACAUU
Marmota flaviventris (yellow-bellied marmot) is the source of this 3233-nucleotide RNA transcript. It is a transcript of the gene named protein phosphatase 1 regulatory subunit 3E, with no coding region annotated. The record is from RefSeq and is a predicted model, not a curated record. Lineage: Eukaryota; Metazoa; Chordata; Mammalia; Rodentia; Sciuridae.